RNAcentral lists this unclassified non-coding RNA (251 nucleotides) under plant metagenome. RNAcentral's name for it is "partial contains small subunit ribosomal RNA, internal transcribed spacer 1, and 5.8S ribosomal RNA". The stretch from base 203 to 251 matches the Rfam family "5.8S ribosomal RNA", at positions 1 to 49 of the family's 154-position model. The record is from RNAcentral.
UCUCCGUUGGUGAACCAGCGGAGGGAUCAUUACAGAGUUGCAAAACUCCCAAACCAUUGUGAACGUUACCUAUCCCGUUGCUUCGGCGGGCGGCCCGGGCCCCGCGCCCGGCGCCCCCCGGCCCCCCGUGGGCGCCCGCCGGAGGUAAACCAAACCCUUGAAUUGCAUGGCCUCUCUGAGUCUUCUGUACUGAAUAAGUCAAAACUCUCAACAACGGAUCUCUUGGUUCUGACAUCGAUGAAGAACGCAGC